AUCCACUAAACCUCUUCCUAAUUCAUCAUCCAUAAACUAGAAACUGAAACUUUUGCCCAAAAAGUAGACAUUGCAUAGAUCGGGAUUGGUUAGGGUUUCACCUUGCUUUGCUUCCUUGGAUUGAGGGGAUGAGAGAAGAAUGUCCCUCCUUGGAGAGGGAGCAGCCCACCCCAAUGCACCACUGGAGAAGACCAGAGAAGGCCUUCCCCUCUUCUCCUUCUUCCUCACGGCAGGGAAGAGGCCGAUGGGGAGAAGUCCCCUAGAGCCGGCGUGAGGGAGAGAGAGAGACAGAGAGGGAGAGGUGCGGCGCAAUGUGGAGAAGAGAGAGAGAGAUCACGGGCACGACUAGAGAAGAAAAGAAAAAAAAAAUGGGCCCGUGAGAUCCAGUCCAGGGCAAUUUUGCCUGAACCGCUUAGGGCAGCACUGCCGCCCUCCUUAGCAGC
This 443-nucleotide long non-coding RNA is filed under the name Sorghum bicolor (sorghum). RNAcentral describes it as "long non-coding RNA (SBIC_LNC000455)". The record is from RNAcentral. Lineage: Eukaryota; Viridiplantae; Streptophyta; Magnoliopsida; Poales; Poaceae.